Molecule: ribosomal RNA, 253 nt
Filed under: Pseudocoprococcus catus
Lineage: Bacteria; Bacillati; Bacillota; Clostridia; Lachnospirales; Lachnospiraceae
Description: Coprococcus catus partial 16S ribosomal RNA
Rfam family: Bacterial small subunit ribosomal RNA
Source: RNAcentral
UACGUAGGGAGCGAGCGUUGUCCGGAAUUACUGGGUGUAAAGGGAGCGUAGGCGGCGGAGCAAGUCAGAAGUGAAAGCCCGGGGCUCAACCCCGGGACGGCUUUUGAAACUGCCCUGCUUGAUUUCAGGAGAGGUAAGCGGAAUUCCUAGUGUAGCGGUGAAAUGCUUAGAUAUCACGAAGAACUCCGAUUGCGAAGGCAGCCUGCUAAGCUGCAACUGACAUUGAGGCUCGAAAGUGUGGGUAUCAAACAGG